Long non-coding RNA from Lolium perenne, 419 nucleotides. RefSeq lists it as uncharacterized. The record is from RefSeq and is a predicted model, not a curated record. NCBI's taxonomy places the organism in Eukaryota, Viridiplantae, Streptophyta, Magnoliopsida, Poales, Poaceae.
GCCACCUGCGUAUAUACAACAACCUAAAUCAAAAGGUUCGUACGAGAAGGCAAACAACUUCAGUAUGGCUGUAAUCCAGGGCAAUACAAGGUUUCUUUGCUUGAUGGCACUUCUGCUGAUUUCGACCACUUUGUUGUCGAGUCAAGCAUCAGGGAUGAACCUAGGCACGGAAUCCAACAUUGCUGGCUUACUGACGGAAACCAACGCUGGCACUGAGGGGAAACAUGAACCCUACGCUCCCCCAUGUGUUCCUGCAGAUUGUAAUACAAUCUGCCAGCGAGAUACCCACACUGCUGGCCAUUGCCGUCCAGAUGGUUGCUACUGCAGCUAGAUCACACUAUGUGGGGCCGCAGAAAUUUGUAUUAAGAAAACAACUAAACAAUAAAGUUAAUUAUGAAAUAUAAAGCUUCUUUCGAGAA